CUACCUGCAGCUAUCAUUGCCCUCAUAGCUCAACCAGGUUCUCUCUUACCUCACUCUAUACUUAUGUGUGAUUGUAAUCUCACAGAUUUGCCUUCAUAUUGCCCUCAUCACUGGAAAUUAUUUUCCAGUUACUGUUUAUGUGCUCAGUAUGUUCUUAAUCUCCUUGAUAUCUCGCUGUUUAAAUCUCCCUGUUUAUCUCUCUAAAAUUUCUGUUUUAUUUCCUGUCUUCAUGUAAUAUCUUUCUUUCUUUCCUUUGUAAUAUUUCCCUGUUUUCAUUUUGUAAGCAGAUGUGAAUAUUAAUAAAGAAUGCUAGUGUGAUUUUCUAUGACAUAUGCUUGCCUGUUAUGCAGUUUAAAAUCUUAUUUAAUAUUAAGAUAGGUAAUACUAGUUACGCCCAGUGGGUAGUACUAGAUAUCUCAAUAGUUCCCCUCAUAGGAAUCAUAUUAUUCUGUUUAAAUUAUUAUCGAAUUUUACAAUCCUUA
RNAcentral lists this long non-coding RNA (482 nucleotides) under Amborella trichopoda. RNAcentral's name for it is "long non-coding RNA (ATRI_LNC003765)". The record is from RNAcentral. Lineage: Eukaryota; Viridiplantae; Streptophyta; Magnoliopsida; Amborellales; Amborellaceae.